UACAGGGGGGGCAAGCGUUGUUCGGAAUUACUGGGUGUAAAGGGCUCGUAGGCGGCCAACUAAGUCGGACGUGAAAUCCCUCAGCUUAACUGGGGAACUGCGUCCGAUACUGGAUGGCUUGGAUUUGGGAGAGGGAUGCGGAAUUCCAGGUGUAGCGGUGAAAUGCGUAGAUAUCUGGAGGAACACCGGUGGCGAAGGCGGGUCUCUGGGCCGAUACUGACGCUGAGGAGCGAAAGCGUGGGGAGCGAACAGG
Molecule: ribosomal RNA, 253 nt
Filed under: uncultured bacterium
Lineage: Bacteria
Description: partial 16S ribosomal RNA
Rfam family: Bacterial small subunit ribosomal RNA
Source: RNAcentral